GCACCUUUGGAUGCAAAGAGAGCGCCAAGGUAUAGGCCCCUUUGCUAAUACUUUGCAUGCAUGAAACUACUGCAUCUGCCCUCUGCCUCAGACAACUCUGAAGGAUACACAUACAUCGCCCUCCGGGCAUGCACUCCAUCACCGCAGAUGGCAAAACAUCACACAGGCUCUUCCCUUUGCAAAUCAGAACCAACCCUGGAAGGUCAUCUUCUUCCAGCGGCUCUCAGAUCCGAACGAGGACCAAUCAGAGAUAGCCAAAAAAAAAAAAAAAAAAACAAAGUUCUACUCUGAACCAACUAAAAUUCCUACCC
RNAcentral lists this small RNA (311 nucleotides) under Histoplasma capsulatum var. duboisii H88. Its description in RNAcentral is "Histoplasma capsulatum H88 hypothetical RNA". The record is from RNAcentral. Lineage: Eukaryota; Fungi; Ascomycota; Eurotiomycetes; Onygenales; Ajellomycetaceae.